RNAcentral lists this transfer RNA (2024 nucleotides) under Daphnia magna. RNAcentral describes it as "uncharacterized LOC116925082, transcript variant X3". The record is from RNAcentral. Lineage: Eukaryota; Metazoa; Arthropoda; Branchiopoda; Diplostraca; Daphniidae.
UAAAGUUCCAUCUCCAAGCAUUAUGAAAUCAAAAUGAGUCAUUGUUUGACUCUUCUCUCACUUCUCACUUCUCUCACAAUUUCAUUAUGCUUCAGAAGCAUAAUGAAAUCAAAAUGAGUCAUUGUUUGACUCAUCUCUUACUUCUCACUUCUCUCACAAUUUCAUCAUGCUUCAGAAGCAUAAUGAAAUCAAAAUGAGUCAUUGUUUGACUGUUCUUGAUUUCAUAAUGCUUGGAUGUGGAACUUUAUCUGGGAUCCAUUACUUGAACUUCUGCUGGUGUCUACAGUGAAUCAUGAAAAACUCUUCAGGUAAAAAAGAUUAAAGUUUAUGUGCGUAUAUAUUGUAGAAACCCAGGCACAAGACGGUGGAUGGAGACGUUAGUAGGAGACUUAGAACAUUAGCAAUAACAUAAGAUAAUUGAAGUCACCAGCUUGGCCAAGUGGUUAGGUCGCGAGACUUAAGUUUUCGUCUCUCUAUAGAGACGUGAGUGCGAUUCUCACACCUGGUAGCUUUCUUGUCCUUAUUCAUACGUGGUAUUCAUUUAAUAGAGUUGCCUUAAAUCAUAAGAUAAAUAGAAGUUUAUGAUUGAAAUAUGGAACGAGAAAGGUGAGGUUGUUAUCUCCGUAUUCCAUUUGUACACACUGAGCAAGAGAUGACAUGGUCAUGAGCGAGAUGUUACCUUUUUUCAAGCGCAUCUGUGUUUAACAUCUGCAGGAAUAAAAAGCCGGUAAUCACGACAAUAUUGCCGUUGUUACACUGGACUUAGAAGUGCUCGCCAGCUCUGUCACUCCCGUCCAGUUGGGGUACACAUUAUUCCCGAGAAUCGGAAUUGAUCAGUUGGUCACCGUCGGCUGGGGCAACUCAGCAACUACGGUAUCGACCCCGGAUUCUUAUGACACGAAAGUCUUAUUCACACCUAACGUAUCAACUGUAACUUAACUCAUGAAGGGGUUAAUCGAAAUGUCUCCUCAUAAAGUCAUAAUUUGGCUCAAGCGGAUAAACAACGCAUUGAGUUUGAGGAACCAGUUUGCCAUCUUCGAAGACAAGCACCUUUGAUUUGUCAUUUAGGGUGCAUUUUAUCGUCAACUUUAUGGCAACAGGUUACGCCACGAUAAAAAAAAAAUAAUUUUUUUUCACUCAACCUUUUUUUUUUUUUUGUAAUUGCUUCUAUCUAGCGCUCGAUUUUUAACUCGGUUUCCUAAGUCAGAGAAAAUAUUUUAACGGAGUGUCCACGUUGCUCAGUCUCUCCAACUGCAUUCAACUGUUCAUAUUGCUUAGUCUAUCAUAUUGCAAGCCUAUUAAUUGCCUUUAAUUCAGGUAAUUCAUCCACAUUGUCUGGGAAGGCAGUAGUUGUCCAAGUGUCCAGAUUUGGUGAUUCUAUCCAACAGCAUUCCAUUGUCCACCUUGCUGAGCUUAUCAAGUACAAUCCUGCUUAUUGCCUUGGCAUCAGUUAUUUCAUACACAUUGUCUGAAGGCAGUAGUUGUGUGGCAUUGCAGUCCAAGUGUCCAUAUUUGCUGAGCCUAUCCGACAGCAUUCCGGUGUCCACCUUGCUGAACCUAUCCAACAGCAUUCAAGUGUUCACCAAAGCACUCGAUCGACGUAAAAAAGAUCUCAUAAACAAUAUUCAACGAGAAAAUGUAAUUCCAGAACAAGCACACGAAAUAGAUCGACGUCAAGGACAAGUUCUCAUGUGUAUCGUUCUGCAAUGCAACCGUACUCUAGGAAAACAUCACGAAGCAGAGAAACUUUAAGAAGCUAUCACAAAAAUGGUUCCUCAAGAACAUCUAGAUCAAAAAAUCGCUACUUUAGUACUCGAUCACCAUCAAGAAGUUCUCUUAAAAAUGGUUCACUGAGAAACUCCAGAAACAACUCAAGGAGAAGAUCGACGUCAAGGUCAAGUUCUGACAUGUCUGCUUCCAUAAGACCAUGGUAUUGUAGGGAAAGAUCAUGAACAUCGGGAGAACAUCUAAGUCGAGAAAACGCUACACAAGUGUGAAGAAGUGAGAAUACAAUCUGUAUUGGA